RNAcentral lists this long non-coding RNA (1959 nucleotides) under Daucus carota (carrot). RNAcentral describes it as "long non-coding RNA (DCAR_LNC001643)". Lineage: Eukaryota; Viridiplantae; Streptophyta; Magnoliopsida; Apiales; Apiaceae. The record is from RNAcentral.
GUAUUUGACGUCUUGGAGAAGUAAUGAUGAUCCAGGUACAGGUGAUUAUACUUAUCGAUGUCAUCCUCAAGGUUUCCCUCAGUUUUUAAUUACAGAUGGUUCCAAAAAGAAGAUUUACAGGCUUGGAAACUGGAAUGGGUUCAUAUUUAGCGGAUUUCCGAGAGAGAUCAGCAACAUCAGUCUAAGUUUUGUAUACAAUGACAAGGAGGUUUACUACAUGUAUAAUAUUGUUCACAGCUCUAUAAUUACAAGAUUGGUGCUAACUCAGAAUGGUGUUGCAGUGCGACAGGUAUGGGCUGAGAAAAGUAAGAAUUGGGCUGAUUUUCUAUCCGGACCAACAGAUCUCUGCGAUAAUUAUGGCAAGUGUGGUCAAUUUGGUAGCUGUAACAUUGCAAAUGCUGUAAUUUGUGAGUGUUUAGAUAAAUUUAAGCCAAAGUCCCCCAAGGACUGGAAUGCGGGUGACUUUUCUGAUGGUUGUGUUCGGGAGACAUCAUUGGAUUGUGAAAAUGGAGAUGGAUUUCUCAAGUAUUCAAACAUUAAAUUGCCAGACACAGAGAGUUGCAGGAGUAAUGAGAGCAUGAACCUGAAGGAUUGUGAAAUGUUAUGCUCAAAGAACUGCUCUUGUACUGCCUACACAACUUUGGACAUAAGUAAAGGAAGUGGCUGUUUGAUUUGGUUUGAUGAGCUAAUCGACAUCAGGCAAGCGCCUCGAGGAGGUGGUCAGGACAUCUAUAUUAGAAUGGCAGCUUCAGAGUUAGGUAUGUUUUUAUUGUGGAAUCUAAUAUGAUCCUUUUGCUUUUAAUGUCUUAUUCACAACUUGAUCAAAUAUGCUGAAAAGAAUAAUUCACCUGCUUAAAUUCCCUUACAAAUUUUAACUAGAGUUGAGUUUUGACAAAUUUCUAGUUUUUAACAGCACUGGUAAGAGUACUCUAUCUUUUCUGGAAAAUCAGUCAUAUUACAUGAAAUAUAUAUAUAUGAAUUGCGGAACAUUGCUUAAUCUUCCCAUCUAGGUGGCUCAAAGGGAAAGACAAAGAAGGUGGUCAUAAUAGUCAGUUUGAUAUCAAUCGGCGCCCUUGUGCUAGGCCUAAGCUUGAUAAUAUACAUGUUUAAGAAAAAGAAGAACAAAAGGCAGGAAGGUAUUUUCCAUGUGAACUUUUCUUUAUUCCAGAGAGAUGAAAACUCUUUGAGGAUUUAAUCUACAUGAACGUACUACUCUUUAUCGAUGUGUUCCAUGCUCACAGGGAGGUUCACGNAGGUAUUUGACGUCUUGGAGAAGUAAUGAUGAUCCAGGUACAGGUGAUUAUACUUAUCGAUGUCAUCCUCAAGGUUUCCCUCAGUUUUUAAUUACAGAUGGUUCCAAAAAGAAGAUUUACAGGCUUGGAAACUGGAAUGGGUUCAUAUUUAGCGGAUUUCCGAGAGAGAUCAGCAACAUCAGUCUAAGUUUUGUAUACAAUGACAAGGAGGUUUACUACAUGUAUAAUAUUGUUCACAGCUCUAUAAUUACAAGAUUGGUGCUAACUCAGAAUGGUGUUGCAGUGCGACAGGUAUGGGCUGAGAAAAGUAAGAAUUGGGCUGAUUUUCUAUCCGGACCAACAGAUCUCUGCGAUAAUUAUGGCAAGUGUGGUCAAUUUGGUAGCUGUAACAUUGCAAAUGCUGUAAUUUGUGAGUGUUUAGAUAAAUUUAAGCCAAAGUCCCCCAAGGACUGGAAUGCGGGUGACUUUUCUGAUGGUUGUGUUCGGGAGACAUCAUUGGAUUGUGAAAAUGGAGAUGGAUUUCUCAAGUAUUCAAACAUUAAAUUGCCAGACACAGAGAGUUGCAGGAGUAAUGAGAGCAUGAACCUGAAGGAUUGUGAAAUGUUAUGCUCAAAGAACUGCUCUUGUACUGCCUACACAACUUUGGACAUAAGUAAAGGAAGUGGCUGUUUGAUUUGGUUUGAUGAGCUAAUCGACAUCAGGCAAG